GAGAGAGACGGCAUGGGAGAAAAUUGCUGCGCGAGUCAAUGCGUAAGUUUGAAUGUACUACUCCAUUGACGUAACAUAUAAGAUCGAAGCAUAGUCUAUAGUUAUGAAUAUAAGUAGGAAUGAAAUCUGAUUUUCAUUUAGGUGCAAUCCAACGGGAGAAAAAAGGACUUGGAAGCAGCUCAAAAUGAAGCAUAAAAACAUAAUUCAAAAAGGUAAGGCAUAUUUUGCUAGGCUGUGAUUGCAACUCACUUUGAUUUUAAUUUAAUUUUUUAAAAUGGACUUAGGCUAUUAGACAGAGUCAAUAUUAAUUUAAACUAAAAUAUUAAUUCAGCGGCUACUUCAAAUAAUAAUUUAAACCCCAAACAAAAUGUCGUUUUUCAACGUCCUCUCACUUAAUUCUACACUUCGUGGAUUAACACUUGAUACAAACACAUUUAUAUUUUAGACCUAUUGAAGUCAUUUAAAAUGUGACGCUGUAGCCUACACCAACACUGAUUAAAAUACUAUUUUAAAAUAAACAUUGACUUCUGCUCAGCCAACAGAAAGAAGGCAGAGGCCCGAAAAACGGGUGGAGGGCCACCUCCACCACCUCUGACGGAGGCAGAGGAGCUGGCCCUCAGCCAAAACAGGGGUCGUCCUGUGGCUGAAGGCAUCCCCGGGGGAAGCUCAUCCGAACCUGUCACCCCCCAGGACACAAGUCCCUACAUCAGAUGCAAGUAUACACUUAUGUCUUUAAAAAAAAAUAAAACUAAUAUAUAAAUAUAUAUAGCCUACUUUUUAACAAAUAUAUAUCCACCCACCCAACAGUUGUGGAUGGUGUCAUCUGCCUGCUUCAGCCUCCGACAGAAACAAACCCUGUAGCUGUAAGUCUUCCAUACUCUGAUGCCUCAGAUGGUAGUUCAAAGUAUUCUGAAACAGUAUUUUUUCCUGCAUUACAGGAGGAGGAGGAUGAGGAUGAAGAAACACUGUCUGCUGCCACAGGGAGAGAUCCAGAGGGGCUUCCUGAAGUGUGUCUUAAUAUAUAGCUACUGGCAGUGCCCAUUCAUUUACAUUCUAAAGUGGAAUUUGGAGUUUGACAUGUACACUGAAUAGAUGAGCAUAAAUAAUGGACAAACUAACUCAUUCUUGUCCUUCAGCAGAACAUGGCUGGGCAUCACCAGGAGGAGGGUCCAUCAACCUCAGCGGCACAGCUUGUCAAAGUGAGAUUUUCGGUCAAUACCAUGUUAAUUCUGUAUGUAGAACUAAAGGAAUUAAAUGUCGCCCAUGUUUCCCAGCUCCCACCCGGUUAAGGAGUUAUACAGGGUGCACCUCAUGACAAGUAUAAAAAAAAACGAAAAAGAAAUGGUCUAUCUGGAUCGGCAGAUUGCUAAAACAGACCUGGAAAUUCUAUUACUGGAACGCCAGUUGAGGUGGGUGCAUUGUCAUGGUGAAUAUGUGAAAUAUGUUAAUGGUUGGAACUACAUUACAAAUCCUGACUGUUGCUUUUGUACUCUUAGGGAAUAAAGAAGAACCAAAUCACAUAUGCAUUUGUUUUAAUUUUUUUAAAUCAUGUGAUGUGAGUGCUCGUCCGCGGUGUGUGAGAUUGGUGAUAUGCGGCCGGAGAAGGUUAUUUAGAUAAAUUAUACUGUUCAAAGAAAAGCGGUAGCGUUCGAAAAGAAAUUCUUCUGGAAAUGAUAAAACGUCUGAUCUGGGUCAGAAGAUUCUCUCGUGACGUAAACCGUUGCACAUUAUUCUGGCUUCGAUGUUGAUCGGAUUUUCAAGGAAUGGACAAUCCAUGUUCAACCGCUUUCUUUGUGUGGGAGGAGACAUGUAGAAACUCUGGGUCUCUUAUAGUAAACCUGCCAGCGAGCAGGUUAUGUUCACAGAGUAAGUUACCGCAGUAACUGACCCAGUGUUUAAGUUACCUCUCUUUCUGGAACGGAUAACUCAGAGUUUCCCUCAUCUCAGGGUUAACUUACUCAGAGUUUUUCACAUAACCCGCUUUCUAGAAUACCCCCCUGGUGCCUUGAUAAAUUGUUUUGUGUAUUGUUUAUUUAUUUCCAACAAGUUAACCCAUAGAAGAAAAGAAUAUUGACAAUAACAGGUCAGAUUUAUCUAUUAUAACAAUCUGACUAUUCCACCGGUUAAGACUUUUCCAGAUAAAAAGUCACAGUACGCUUCUGUUUCUUCCUCAGAGUCACAAGACCUCAAGACACCUGUCCUCUGAGCCUCAGUACCAUCAUACUUCUCCUGCUGAUGCUCUCAUGAUCUCCUGUCUUCUCACCUCUCAUAUUGUACCUCCUUGCACGCUGCUCAUGCUUACUUUACCCUCCUCCCUGGGGACUUUUCCUCCAUCUCUGUCUUUCUGCAUCCUAUCCUUUGGUACCAUCUUCUCCCUGCAUCUUCCCUGCCUUUUCCCUCUGGGUAACUUGUGUGUCAGGGCUGACAGAGAUAUUCUCUUUUCUGUCCUAUCUGGUCCCGUGGGAGAAUCAGAGUGUGAUCCUGACCCAGGAUGAUGGACAGUGAAGCUGGGAUAUCCAACACCUGAGGAGGAAGGGAAGCUGUCCUGGUACAUCCUAAGGAAAAAAAGC
Molecule: long non-coding RNA, 2570 nt
Filed under: Xyrichtys novacula (pearly razorfish)
Lineage: Eukaryota; Metazoa; Chordata; Actinopteri; Labriformes; Labridae
Source: RNAcentral